Homo sapiens (human) is the source of this 260-nucleotide unclassified non-coding RNA. It matches the Rfam family "Metazoan signal recognition particle RNA". From Rfam's summary of the family: The signal recognition particle (SRP) is a universally conserved ribonucleoprotein. It is involved in the co-translational targeting of proteins to membranes. The record is from Ensembl. NCBI's taxonomy places the organism in Eukaryota, Metazoa, Chordata, Mammalia, Primates, Hominidae.
GCUGGGCGCGGUGACACAUGCCGGUGGUCCCAGCUACUCAGGAGGGUGAGCUGGGAGAAUUGCUCGAGUCCAGGAGUUCUGGGCAGUAGUGCACUGUACCCACUGGUGUCCACAGAGGGUGGGGGGCACCAUCAAGUUGCCUAAGAAAGAGGACUCUGCCCAGGUCCAAAACAGAGCAGGUCAAAACUCCUGUGCUGAUUAGUAAUGGGAUCAUGGCCAUUGCACUCCAGCCUGGGCAACAUAGCAAGACUCUGUCUCCU